AUUGAACGCUGGCGGCAUGCUUUACACAUGCAAGUCGAACGGUAACAGGCCUUCUGGUUCUGACGAGUGGCGAACGGGUGAGUAAUGCGGCGGAACGUACCCAGAGGGGGGGGAUAACGCAGCGAAAGCUGUGCUAAUACCGCAGGUGUUCUGAGGGUGAAAGCGGGGGACCGGUCAGCGAGGUUGGGCCUCGCGCUUUUGUAGCGGGCGAUGUCGGAUUAGCUUGUGGGUGGGGUAAAGGGCUACCGAGGCGACGAUCCGGAGCGGGUCUGAGAGGACGACCAGCCACACUGGGACUGAGACACGGCCCCGACUCCGACGGGAGGCAGCAGCGGGGAAUUUUAGACAAUGGGAGCAAGCGUGAUCCAGAAAUGCCGAGGGCGGGAAGAAGGCCUCCGGGUUGUAGACCGAUUUUGGCAGGAACGAAACGGUGUCCGCUAAUACCGGGCGCUAAUGACGGUACCUGCAGAAUAAGCACCGGCUAACUACGUG
RNAcentral lists this ribosomal RNA (492 nucleotides) under uncultured bacterium. Its description in RNAcentral is "partial 16S ribosomal RNA". It matches the Rfam family "Bacterial small subunit ribosomal RNA", at positions 29 to 507 of the family's 1533-position model. The record is from RNAcentral.